UUGGGUGUAAGGGUGUGCAGGCGGGGCGGUAAGUCAGGGGUGAAAGUCUACGGCUCAACCGUAGGAUGGCCUUUGAUACUGUCGUCCUUGAGUCCCGGAGAGGCCAUUAGAAUUCGUGGUGUAGCGGUGAAAUGCGUAGAUAUCACGAGGAAUACCGGAAGCGUAGGCGGAUGGCUGGACGGCGACUGACGCUCAGGCACGAAAGCGUGGGGAGCGAACAGGAUUAGAUACCCUGGUAGUCCACGCUGUAAACGAUGGAUGCUCGGUGUUCGACUCCGUUAGCGGGUUGAGUGCCCAAGUUAACGCGAUAAGCAUCCCACCUGGGGAGUACGCUCGCAAGAGUGCAACUCAAAGGAAUUGACGGGGGCCCGCACAAGCGGUGGAGCAUGUGGCUUAAUUCGAUGCAACGCGAAGAACCUUACCUGGGCUCGAACGCUGCUGGCUGGGACCUGAAAGGGUUCGUUCUUCGGACCGGCAGUGAGGUGCUGCAUGGCUGUCGUCAGUUCGUGUCGUGAGAUGUUGGGUUAAGUCCCGCAACGAACGCAACCCCUACUCUUAGUUACCAGCACGUGGUGGUGGGGACUCUAAGGGGACUGCCUGCGCAAGCAGUAAGGAAGGUGGGGAUGACGUC
This 631-nucleotide ribosomal RNA is filed under the name uncultured bacterium. RNAcentral describes it as "bacterial SSU rRNA". It matches the Rfam family "Bacterial small subunit ribosomal RNA", at positions 554 to 1186 of the family's 1533-position model. The record is from RNAcentral.